AACGAACGCUGGCGGCAUGCCUAACACAUGCAAGUCGAACGAACCCUUCGGGGUUAGUGGCGCACGGGUGCGUAACGCGUGGGGAUCUGCCCAAAGGUUCGGAAUAACUCAGAGAAAUUUGAGCUAAUACCGGAUAAUGUCUUCGGACCAAAGAUUUAUUGCCUUUGGAUGAACCCGCGUAGGAUUAGCUUGUUGGUGGGGUAAAGGCCUACCAAGGCGACGAUCCUUAGCUGGUCUGAGAGGAUGAUCAGCCACACUGGGACUGAGACACGGCCCAGACUCCUACGGGAGACAGCAGUGGGGAAUAUUGGACAAUGGGCGCAAGCCUGAUCCAGCCAUGCCGCGUGAGUGAUGACGGCCUUAGGGUUGUAAAGCUCCUUCGCCAGGGACGAUAAUGACGGUACCUGGAUAAGAAGCCCCGGCUAACUUCGUG
This 433-nucleotide ribosomal RNA is filed under the name uncultured bacterium. Its description in RNAcentral is "bacterial SSU rRNA". It matches the Rfam family "Bacterial small subunit ribosomal RNA", at positions 29 to 507 of the family's 1533-position model. The record is from RNAcentral.